CACGUAGGGCGCGAGCGUUGUCCGGAAUUAUUGGGCGUAAAGAGCUCGUAGGCGGCCUGUUGCGUCCGCUGUGAAAGCCCGGGGCUUAACCCCGGGUCGGCAGUGGAUACGGGCAGGCUAGAGGUAGGUAGGGGAGAAUGGAAUUCCCGGUGUAGCGGUGAAAUGCGCAGAUAUCGGGAGGAACACCGAUGGCGAAGGCAGGUCUCUGGGCCACUACUGACGCUGAGAAGCGAAAGCAUGGGGAGCAAACAGG
This 253-nucleotide ribosomal RNA is filed under the name uncultured bacterium. RNAcentral describes it as "partial 16S ribosomal RNA". It matches the Rfam family "Bacterial small subunit ribosomal RNA", at positions 524 to 776 of the family's 1533-position model. The record is from RNAcentral.